Manis pentadactyla (Chinese pangolin) is the source of this 104-nucleotide small nucleolar RNA. RefSeq annotates it as small nucleolar RNA U13. The record is from RefSeq and is a predicted model, not a curated record. NCBI's taxonomy places the organism in Eukaryota, Metazoa, Chordata, Mammalia, Pholidota, Manidae. The transcript has a single exon.
AUCCUUUUGUAGUUCAUAGGCAUGAUGAUUGAGUGUUCAUGCUUUUGUGUGACAUGUGCAUCCCUCAAACCUUGUUAUGACAGCAACACAUUACCCAUCUGAUA